This is a long non-coding RNA of Mobula hypostoma (lesser devil ray), 779 nucleotides long. RefSeq lists it as uncharacterized. NCBI's taxonomy places the organism in Eukaryota, Metazoa, Chordata, Chondrichthyes, Myliobatiformes, Myliobatidae. The transcript has 3 exons. The record is from RefSeq and is a predicted model, not a curated record.
UUAUACAGCGGGCAGCAUAGUUUGUGGGCUGCCGAGUGAGCCGGGAGCAGAGUGAAGGCUUAAGGGCUUCGGUGGAAACAGGCGUGGCGAAGAGGGUUUGGACUGUAAUCUUGAACUAUCCUGAAGGAAUGCUGGCGAUACUUGAUCAUCCCUUGUCGACGAGCAACCUGGAGAAGUUGGUCUUUAACAUUGACAUAAUGGAAACGAAGAAUAACUGGUCUGGGUUUGGAAGUAAUCGCUGCCGACUUUGUCCACGGUAUACGAUGGGCGCGGUCGAGUAAUGGAGGAUCAUUGGGAAAAACUGAACCGAACGAAUCUUUUAAAAGUUGAGCAAAGAAUAUUGCAGGAUCUUCAGCCUCAACAUCCUCGGGUAAACCGAUUAAAUAUCAUGCUCCACUGAAACUUUCCACCAAGUUAAUGGACACCUCCUGUACUAGCCGACAAUGGCGAUUUAACCCUAUUUUGCUUCAAGAUCAAGAUUUUGUCAAAUUUAUAAAGGAGCAGAUCGAUUUCUUUUUUUCAACUAAUACUACAGACGAAGUUUCCAAUGGAACUGUUUGGGAUGCCUUUAAAGCUUAUAUCCGUGGUCAGAUCAUUUCCUAUUCGGCUGGUUUGAAAAAACGUGUUAACAAUGAAAUACUUUUGUUGGUUGAUAAAAUUAAAGAAGUCAAUAAAAAAUAUGCUAUUUCUCCCAGUAAGGAGCUGUACAAACAUAGAGUUGAACUCCAAUUUGGAACAUAGUUUAUUAUUAACAUCCUCCAUCGAAAAUCAAUUAAUGA